RNAcentral lists this long non-coding RNA (2470 nucleotides) under Leguminivora glycinivorella. RNAcentral describes it as "uncharacterized LOC125242165". Lineage: Eukaryota; Metazoa; Arthropoda; Insecta; Lepidoptera; Tortricidae. The record is from RNAcentral.
UGGUAAAUACGGAAGAUAUGAUGUAUGGAAACUUUAUAUGCGUGAUGUAUGUCAGGGGCGACACAACCUGGCUCACUUUUAGUUUUGAGCGGUCCUUAACAUGGCCAAAUUGGUGUUCUGUAGUAGGUGGGUAUCGGGUGCUUACCACACCCGAGCACGGUUUGUGCAUUUUUGCGUAUUUGUGGCUACGCAGUUUGGUCGGUUUGGUGUGGAGAGCCAGCAGUCACCCAUUUUCAGGGGCUGUUUUUUUGUUUCGGGCUCUCAUUUUUGGGCCAUAUCGACCGCGGUACACCGAUUGGUGGUACCUUUUUGUGAUUAUCGUGCUGGCGGGUUCAACGGCCAUUUUUCGGCGUUGGAACGACACACGGAGUUUGUUGCCACGUCUUUACUCGACUUCGUAGGAAGAAGGGUAAUGUUUUGUUUAGCCUACUACAGACAUGCAAUUGUUUUGAAUUUUUUUUGAGUUUACUACAGACAUGCAAUUGUUUUAUAUUUUUUUGUUUAGCUUCAGCCAAAUGGUUGUAGGUAUGGUUUUGGUUUUGAUUUAUUUUUUUGCCAGGGUUAGGUGAGAACCUCACCUACUGUUGGGGGUUGAGUGCAACUUUGAAUUUUUUUAGAUUUUGGGGUCUCGUCGUCAACGUAUUUAAUUUUUUUGGUAUUUUGAGGGAGAGUUGGCACAGAUUGGUGUGGCCAAUUCAACCAGGCAUAGUUUUUUUGGUUCAGUUUGUUUUUUUUUAGUUUGUUCACCUGAAGGGUUGAGACAAGCAGGUGUCGUCAACCUGUAGGGCUGUAACAAUGAUUUUGGUUUGGUUUUGGAAGUUAUAGUCGGAAGCCUAUAACUUUGGUUUCGCCCGGUCUAGCUGAGUUUUUUCUUGGAAUGCUGAACAUCGGUCCUGGCGGUUGGUUUUUUGGCUUUCUCAGCACAACAAGCUUUAUUGCAAGUUGCACUGAGAAGGCCAACGGUUGGUUUACUGUUUUGGAAAUUAGCGGAGGUUUUUUUCUAUAUGCAGCGCAGUUGGCCGCAUAGUUUUUUUCACCCUCCGAGGGUUGACGCGGGUUCGAGAUUUUUUUAAUAUUUUUUUUUGUGGUCAAACAGUAGUUUGCUUGUUUUUAAAUACCUUUUGGUAUAAUUUUGUAGAUAUUGGGGGAUUUUUUUUUGAGAUUUUACAGUCUCGAACUUGCGUCAGGUUUUUUUGAUUCUGAUAUUUUUUUGGUAGGUUUAGUUUUCUUGCCUUCAGAUUUUGUUUUUUUUUUAUGAAAGUCGCUGAGGACAGCGAGCGGUUCACCUACGUUGAACCUUAAAUCGGGAAGGGGGGUAUUGUAACGUAGCAGAUUUUUUGAUAGUCGUAAUUAAAUAUUUUGGAUAGAUUUAAUUUUUGAAUGAAACACUUCCUUCUCGUUCAUUGCAUUAUCUGUUGCACUUCAAAUGCACAUAUUUAUGUUUAUCUGUUGUAGGGUUGCCAUACAACAAGUAUUAUUCGAAAUUGUAGGUAUUUUGGCUGUCAUUCCAGGAAAACUUUGUAUAGUUUUGAUAUACUUUAAGUAUUGAUUUUUGGAAAAUAUAAUAUUUUAGAGACAUGAUAACAAAUGUUAUCAUAGGUUUUUUAAGGCUGUUCUGGAAUGAUAUUUGUUAGGUUUUGUUUACUUCAAGGUCUGAUACAGAAACUGGAGUAAUUUUCAUUUAAUGAAUUAGAGUAUUUUAUUGUUUAUUCGUUUGCCACCCGGCUUUUGUUUUGGGUCCUUUAAAUUCGAGAUCAUUCAGUGCGCCGUUCUUUCUGUGACGAGAUCCUCUUGUAUAGUGAUCGGACGGCCGUAUAAGGGCCUGGAGCCCGGCAUGCCACGUGCUGCCGUGGCGUUCCAUAUUUUGUGUGGUGCGUUCUGUCAGUCUGACUGGCAGAAACAUGCUAAGGGUGGGAGUGCUCCUUGGAGAUCCUCGGUCUGCAGUCUGCAGGUCUCCGGAGUCGGGAAGAAGUAAAGAAUUAGAGAAUUGCAGAAGUAGAAUUUAACAAGAACUUUUACAAUUUUGAUGUGCAAGGAAACUUUCUUGGGCGUUACUGGCGCAAGGUGCCUUUGGACCUUGUUUUCGUAUGGAAGGGUCAGCCCUGUCCACGUGGCGAGGGGGCGUCAGCACCGGAGUCCGGGGAGCAGCCGGCUCAUCCCUGACAAGGUGUGUCUCCUGCCCGUUUCCUGCCGGUAGUGCUGUGUAAUUCAGGUUUUAAUUUCUGUGUAAAGUAAUUUCUGAUUUCAUUUAUUUUGAGAAUUCUGGUGCAUAACUUUAGGUAAAUUCAUAUUUAGUUUUUGUAGAAUAAAUGGUUGUAAGAAACCUUUUCCUGGACCCUCUUAAAGCGGCCCAGCUUUACCACUGAGCGUAGUUCUUAUUUCAUAUAUGGUGUCAAAUUUAGUAUUUUAGAAACAUUAACUUAAACCUAUCUGUAAGGCAAGAUUUUGGUAUAAUAAAUAUAUAAAAUGU